GGCGGUCUGUCAAGUCGGAUGUGAAAUCCCCGGGCUCAACCUGGGAWCUSCAUUCGAAACUGGCAGGCUAGAGUCUUGUAGAGRGGGGUAGAAUUCCAGGUGUAGCGGUGAAAUGCGUAGAGAUCUGGAGGAAUACCGGUGGCGAAGGCGGCCCCCUGGACAACGACUGACGCUCAGGUGCGAAAGCGUGGGGAGCAAACAGRAUUAGAUACCCUGGUAGUCCACGCCGUAAACGAUGUCGACUUGGAGGUUGUGCCCUUGAGGCGUGGCUUCCGGAGGUAACGCGUUAAGUCGACCCCCUGGGGAGUACGGCCGCAAGGUUAAAACUCAAAUGAAUUGACGGGGGCCCGCACAAGCGGUGGASCAUGUGGUUUAAUUCGAUGCAACGCGAAGACCCUUACCUACUCUUGACAUCCAGAGAACUUUCCAGAGAUGGAUUGGUGCCUUCGGGAACUCUGAGACAGGUGCUGCAUGGCUGUCGUCAGCUCGUGUUGUGAAAUGUUGGGUUAAGUCCCGCAACGAGCGCAACCCUUAUCCUUUGUUGCCAGCGGUUAGGCCGGGAACUCAAAGGAGACUGCCAGUGAUAAACUGGAGGAAGGUGGGGAUGACGUCAAGUCAUCAUGGCCCUUACGAGUAGGGCUACACACGUGCUACAAUGGCGCAUACAAAGAGAAGCGACCUCGCGAGAGCAAGCGGACCUCAUAAAGUGCGUCGUAGUCCGGAUUGGAGUCUGCAACUCGACUCCAUGAAGUCGGAAUCGCUAGUAAUCGUAGAUCAGAAUGCUACGGUGAAUACGUUCCCGGGCCUUGUACMCMCCSCCCGYCMCMCCAUGGRAGUGGGUUSCAMAARAAGWAGGUASCUUAACCYUCGGGAGGGCGCU
RNAcentral lists this ribosomal RNA (880 nucleotides) under Citrobacter sp. RNAcentral describes it as "partial 16S ribosomal RNA". It matches the Rfam family "Bacterial small subunit ribosomal RNA", at positions 574 to 1454 of the family's 1533-position model. The record is from RNAcentral. Lineage: Bacteria; Pseudomonadati; Pseudomonadota; Gammaproteobacteria; Enterobacterales; Enterobacteriaceae.